CUGGUUGAUCCUGCCAGACCCGACUGUUAUCGGAUUGGGACUAAGCCAUGCGAGUCAACUCCGCAAGGGGUGGCGCACGGCUCAGUAACACGUAGUCAACCUACCCUGGGGACGGGGAUAACCUCGGGAAACUGAGGCUAAACCCCGAUGGGCCAUGGCUCCUGGAAUGGGCUAUGGCUGAAAUCUACAUGGCCCCAGGAUGGGACUGCGGCCGAUCAGGUUGUUGGUGGGGUAAUGGCCCACCAAGCCUAUAACCGGUGCGGGCUCUGAGAGGAGGAGCCCGGAGAUAGGCACUGAGACAAGGGCCCAGGUCCUAUGGGGCGCAGCAGGCGCGAAACCUCCGCAAUGGGCGAAAGCCCGACGGGGUCAGUCCGAGUGGUUUCCGCUGAGGGAACCUUUUGCCAGCUGUAAACAGGCUGGCGAAUAAGGGGUGGGCAAGUUUGGUGUCAGCCGCCGCGGUAAUACCAGCACCCCGAGUGGUCGGGACGAUUAUUGGGCCUAAAGCAUCCGUAGCCGGCCCAGUAAGUCCUCCGUUAAAUCCAACGGCUCAACCGUUGGGCUGCGGGGGAUACUGCUGGGCUAGGGGACGGGAGAGGCGAGGGGUAUUCCCGGGGUAGGGGUAAAAUCCACUGAUCCCGGGAGGACCACCAGUGGCGAAGGCGCCUCGCUAGAACGUGCCCGACGGUGAGGGAUGAAAGCUGGGGGAGCGAACCGGAUUAGAUACCCGGGCAGUCCCAGCCGUAAACGAUGUAGGCUCGGUGUUGGGCUGCCUCAGUGGCAGCCCAGUGCCGCAGGGAAGCCGUUAAGCCUACCGCCUGGGGAGUACGGACGCAAGGCUGAAACUUAAAGGAAUUGGCGGGGGAGCACCAC
This 870-nucleotide ribosomal RNA is filed under the name uncultured archaeon. Its description in RNAcentral is "bacterial SSU rRNA". It matches the Rfam family "Archaeal small subunit ribosomal RNA", at positions 4 to 882 of the family's 1478-position model. The record is from RNAcentral.